UACGUAGGGUGCAAGCGUUGUCCGGAAUUAUUGGGCGUAAAGAGCUCGUAGGCGGUCUGUCGCGUCUGCUGUGAAAACUCAGGGCUUAACCCUGAGCUUGCAGUGGGUACGGGCAGACUAGAGUGCGGUAGGGGAGACUGGAGUUCCUGGUGUAGCGGUGAAAUGCGCAGAUAUCAGGAGGAACACCGGUGGCGAAGGCGGGUCUCUGGGCCGUAACUGACGCUGAGGAGCGAAAGCAUGGGGAGCGAACAGG
Molecule: ribosomal RNA, 253 nt
Filed under: uncultured bacterium
Lineage: Bacteria
Description: partial 16S ribosomal RNA
Rfam family: Bacterial small subunit ribosomal RNA
Source: RNAcentral